RNAcentral lists this ribosomal RNA (2790 nucleotides) under Triticum aestivum (bread wheat). RNAcentral describes it as "partial small subunit ribosomal RNA". The record is from RNAcentral. Lineage: Eukaryota; Viridiplantae; Streptophyta; Magnoliopsida; Poales; Poaceae.
AUGCUUGUCCACCAAAGCAUUGAGGAAGAUGUGUUUGAGCCACUGGUGUUGCGUGUUGCUGAAAUUAGACGCCGCUUCUUUGGGAUAGUGAGCUCAUCUGAAAAUGACGGAAGGGGUCCUACAAUGCAUGAACUUCCAGAAAAGAUCAGAUGGGAAGUGCAACAUCUUGAAGAAUUGUUUGAGGGGAUCAAGGAAGACAAGGAGGGGGUCUAUGAGAGCAUUACGUAUGUUAGCAUGGCAGUCUCUAAGUGGCAAAGAAGAUUGGGGAUAGUAUACCGGAAUGCAUCUGGAGCUCCUGCACCUUUUGAGGGAAUGAAAUGGGCAGUGGAGCAUCAUGAGGGGUGGGUUGAGGAUGGUACCACAUCAGAAGCCAAUACUGAGAAACUGUCUUUUGAUGAACAUGAGUUUUUUGAAUCACUUCGAUACCUUAAGACUGCAGAAGGUGGUUCAGAAGCUCGUUUCCUGGAUGGUAUCAAGACUGGAAUGCAGUGUAUCAACGAUGUUCUUGCCACCGUACAAUCAAGAACGGAAGCAGCCAAUGGGAGCUUGCGUAUUGUAGACCAUGUCUUCUCCCCAGUACUGAAACUUAUAAAAACCAUUGAUCAUCUAGUAUCAGUAGCUACUGAGGGCGGAGACAAAUCUCAGAACUAUAAGUUCCUUGCCAAGAUUGAUGGUCAAGUAGACUGCUUGCAGGAUGCACUACAUGUGAUUGAUAUAAAUAAGAGAGAAGUUGAGGAAAGCUUUAGAACAAUGGAAGGUCUCAUCUUGCCACUAUUGUCACGCCUUAACGCCAGUUGCAAUGUUCAAUUGGAACCUCUGAGCUUCCAAGAUGAGAUCGAAAAAGGCAUUAAGCACUUGGUAGAUGUACUUGGCAUGGUUGAGAAAAAGAAGCAGGAUGGAAAUGCAAACUUCAGCAUUGUUAAUGCGGCCUUCUCGCCGUUAUUGACAUGUUUGAACACCAUCAGGCACCUCUCAUUAGAAGCCUUAGCCCAUGAAGAUAAAUCAGGUGCUUUUAUUCUCUUGGGCAAUAUCAGCGAUGAGUUGUCACAGCUCAAAGAUGUACUCCAGAAGGUCCAGGAGAAAGAGAAAGGGAUAUACAGUAAUUUUGAUGCCAUUGAGCAACAUAUUGAUGAACUUUUUGAGGGGCCUAUGAUAGAUGCCGAAGGCUCCUUAAAACUUCAGCAGAUGGGUGGCCUGCGAGAAAAGUUCCGUGUGAUUCAUAAAGAGAUAACAAAUAUAUGGGGUAAGGUGAAUGACUCUUUCAAGGUUCAGGAUGUCUCCAUCAGAUUGAUGGCUGCAAGACAUGAAGCUUCAUCUUCUCGUCCAUUGUCAGCACCAGAUACAUUCAACAUUAACAGGGAAAAUGUGGAGAUGCGGAAGCUGAAGGGUAGCAUUAAUGGACUGGAGACGAGGUUGAGACAGUGCCUUUUGUGCCUUGCUGUCUUCCCAGAGGAUGCAGUCAUCAAGAAGAGGCUGCUAAUUCAUUGGUGGAUUGGAGAAGGCUUUGUGAGUUCAGUUUCAGAGGGGAAGAAUUUUUUUAAUGAGCUGCUUAUUACCAAGGGAUUCAUUAAGCCAGUUAAGAAAUACCACUGCGACAAAGUCCACGGGUGCAAGGUGCAACCGUUGAUCCGUGCGCUACUGAUUGAAGCUGCAAAGAGUGCAGCAUUUGUUGAGCUCAAUUCUGAUGGCAGCUCCAAGAAUGACUUCACCAGAACCCGGCGUGCAUGUUUGCAGGAUGGGAAGAUCCUUACCAGUUUCCAUCGCGAUGUGUUGACAGUUUACAAUAUUAAACAACAGUAUCUUGAGUUAGACAAGACAUGGUUUUCUGGAAAGACAUGUUUGAGCACUGUGCAGUUAGGACGAUGGCAGGAUACAAAUUAUGACCCUCGGGUGCAUCACGUAGAGUUGAACAAUGUUGAGUUCCUAAAGCAGGUCAAGUCGUGCAAGCAAUUGAAGUACCUGAGUUUCAGAGGGAUAUCGAGAAUCGAGGCCCUUCCUACCUCGAUUGGAAAGCUCACAAGACUUGUCAUCCUUGAUCUCAAAGCAUGCCAUAAUCUGGAGGAUCUACCAAAGGAGAUAGUGAAACUAGUGAAGCUGGAGUACUUGGACGUUUCUGAAUGCUACUUGCUGUCAGGUAUGCCCAAGGGGCUAAUCAAGCUUUCUCACCUUGAAGUUCUCAAGGGGUUUGUUCUGGCAAACACUAGGAGCAAAGACCCGUGCCAUCUCAAGGAACUUGUCAUGCUGAAAAAAUUACGGACGCUGAGCAUUAGAAUUGGAAAUAGUGUAGAUAGUGAUCAGUUUGAGAAAAUUAACGAGUUUUGUGCCCUCCGGUCGCUCACACUUACUUGGGGGGCUGGGUUAUCCUCGGUACCUGCUAUACACGGUGACAAUCGUCUUUCAAGAUCAAGCAGUGCUGCUACUCUUGCUGUUAAUCAUGCAAUGCCUUCUGUUCUCCCCUCGGGUCUUGAGAAGCUGGAGAUCUGUUGCUUCCCAGUAGCAGAAUUUCCUUGCUGGGUUAAUCCUGGAGAGCUGAAAAACUUGAAGAAACUCUAUAUCAGGGGAGGUAUCAUAAGUAGUGUAGGCGAGGACAAGUACUGGGAGGUGACCGUGCUUCGGUUAAGGUUCCUCAAGCAUCUCAACUAUUCAUGGACGGCACUGCAUGAUACUUUCAUGAAACUCCAUGUUUUGGAGGUGCAUGAAUGUGAAAAUCUUGAAACCUGGCCUGACUGUCAAAAGGACUUGUGGCUGAAAGAGACGAAUGGAAUUAUGGAAGGUUCGCACCUCGCUUAA